GCUCCCGUCCUGGCGUCUGGUCGCCGCCGCGGGCACCACCUGAGGAGCCGCCGCCGCCGCCCCGCGGGCCCGAGCGACGCGGGUUGGUCAGCCCCUGGACGCAAGCUGCCCCUUGACGGAGCUGCCGCCAUGGCCGACUGGUAGAGCCGGCGCGUCCCGCACCCGGAGGCCAGGUGAGUGCCUGGGCCUGGCGCCUGCGCCUCCACCGGGGGCUGAGGGGGCGUGCGGGGGCGCCCCUCCGGGACC
This 246-nucleotide long non-coding RNA is filed under the name Dasypus novemcinctus (nine-banded armadillo). RNAcentral describes it as "lncRNA (ENSDNOG00000049828.1)". The record is from RNAcentral. Lineage: Eukaryota; Metazoa; Chordata; Mammalia; Cingulata; Dasypodidae.